GACGAACGCUGGCGGCGUGCUUAACACAUGCAAGUCGAACGGAAAGGCCCCCUUGUGGGGUACUCGAGUGGCGAACGGGUGAGUAACACGUGAGUAACCUACCCUUGACUUUGGGAUAACUUCAGGAAACUGGGGCUAAUACUGGAUAGGAGCUCCUGCUGCAUGGUGGGGGUUGGAAAGUUUCGGCGGUUGGGGAUGGGCUCGCGGCUUAUCAGCUUGUUGGUGGGGUAGUGGCUCACCAAGGCUUUGACGGGUAGCCGGCCUGAGAGGGUGACCGGCCACAUUGGGACUGAGAUACGGCCCAGACUCCUACGGGAGGCAGCAGUGGGGAAUAUUGCACAAUGGGCGGAAGCCUGAUGCAGCAACGCCGCGUGCGGGAUGACGGCCUUCGGGUUGUAAACCGCUUUCGCCUGUGACGAAGCGUGAGUGACGGUAAUGGGUAAAGAAGCACCGGCUAACUACGUG
Molecule: ribosomal RNA, 465 nt
Filed under: uncultured bacterium
Lineage: Bacteria
Description: partial 16S ribosomal RNA
Rfam family: Bacterial small subunit ribosomal RNA
Source: RNAcentral